AUUGAACGCUGGCGGCAUGCCUAACACAUGCAAGUCGAACGGCAGCAUGACGUGUAGCAAUACACGUUGAUGGCGAGUGGCGGACGGGUGAGGAAUGCAUCGGAAUCUGCCCAGUCGUGGGGAUAACGUAGGGAACUUACGCUAAUACCGCAUACGACUACGCGUUGAAAGACGCGGGGUGGAAAGCGGGGAGUCGAAGACCUCGCGCGAUUGGAUGAGCCGAUGCCGGAUUAGCUUGUUGGUGGGGUAACGGCCCACCAAGGCGACGAUCCGUAGCUGGUCUGAGAGGAUGAUCAGCCACACUGGGACUGAGACACGGCCCAGACUCCUACGGGAGGCAGCAGUGGGAAUAUUGGACAAUGGGCGCAAGCCUGAUCCAGCCAUGCCGCGUGAGUGAUGAAGGCCUUAGGGUUGUAAAGCUCUUUCACCCACGACGAUAAUGACGGUAGUGGGAGAAGAAG
Molecule: ribosomal RNA, 461 nt
Filed under: uncultured bacterium
Lineage: Bacteria
Description: bacterial SSU rRNA
Rfam family: Bacterial small subunit ribosomal RNA
Source: RNAcentral